CGUAUCCCCUCUUUCAAGUAUGUAUGGGUUCUAAGGUAAUUGGGGUUUUCAACCCCUAAUUCUCAAUUAAAUAUGGAACAACAACAAAACCCAUCACAAACAACUAGUUAAAUAGACAAAUAAUCAACACCCAUGCAUUAAUCACCACCUAAUCAAGCAUAACCCCAAGAAAUAAAUUUUGUUACUCAUGGAAAUAAAAAAAAAGAUAUAUCCCAUAAUUAGCAUUCAACUCAUCCACG
Molecule: long non-coding RNA, 239 nt
Filed under: Capsicum annuum
Lineage: Eukaryota; Viridiplantae; Streptophyta; Magnoliopsida; Solanales; Solanaceae
Description: long non-coding RNA (CANN_LNC019216)
Source: RNAcentral